GAUGAACGCUGGCGGCGUGCCUAAUACAUGCAAGUCGAGCGAACAGACGAGGAGCUUGCUCCUCUGACGUUAGCGGCGGACGUGUGAGUAACACGUGGAUAACCUACCUAUAAGACUGGGAUAACUUCGGGAAACCGGAGCUAAUACCGGAUAAUAUAUUGAACCGCAUGGUUCAAUAGUGAAAGACGGUUUUGCUGUCACUUAUAGAUGGAUCCGCGCCGCAUUAGCUAGUUGGUAAGGUAACGGCUUACCAAGGCAACGAUGCGUAGCCGAACUGAGAGGGUGAUCGGCCACACUGGAACUGAGACACGGUCCAGACUCCUACGGGAGGCAGCAGUAGGGAAUCUUCCGCAAUGGGCGAAAGCCUGACGGAGCAACGCCGCGUGAGUGAUGAAGGUCUUCGGAUCGUAAAACUCUGUUAUUAGGGAAGAACAAAUGUGUAAGUAACUAUGCACGUCUUGACGGUACCUAAUCAGAAAGCCACGGCUAACUACGUG
Molecule: ribosomal RNA, 497 nt
Filed under: uncultured bacterium
Lineage: Bacteria
Description: partial 16S ribosomal RNA
Rfam family: Bacterial small subunit ribosomal RNA
Source: RNAcentral